GAAAAGCAGAUCGCAUGAUCAGCUUUUAAAGGCGGCGUAAAGCUGUCGCUAUGGGGGAUGGGCCCCGCGGUGCAUUAGCUAGUUGGUAAGGUAAAGGCUUACCAAGGGCGAUGAUGCAUAGCCCGAGUUGAGAGACUGAUCGGCCACAUUGGGGACUGAGACACGGCCCAAACUCCUACGGGAGGCAGCAGUAGGGAAUCUUCCACAAUGGACGCAAGUCUGAUGGAGCAAACGCCGCGUGAGUGAAGAAGGUUUUCGGAUCGUAAAGCUCUGUUGUUGGUGAAGAAGGAUAGAGGUAGUAACUGGCCCUUUAUUUGACGGUAAUCAACCAGAAAGUCACGGGCUAACUACGUGCCAGCAGCCGCGGUAAU
This 371-nucleotide ribosomal RNA is filed under the name uncultured Lactobacillus sp. RNAcentral describes it as "bacterial SSU rRNA". It matches the Rfam family "Bacterial small subunit ribosomal RNA", at positions 173 to 524 of the family's 1533-position model. The record is from RNAcentral. Lineage: Bacteria; Bacillati; Bacillota; Bacilli; Lactobacillales; Lactobacillaceae.